AAAAAUCAAACUCAAUAUUUUCUGUUAUGUGUACGGUUAAUGUCAUCCAACUUUCAACAAAAUAACUCAAGCACCUUUGUAUAAAUGGCUUUCAUAAAUCAAAAUUUACCAAUUUUAAAAUACGCAGACGUUCAUCCUGAGAUACGGGUAAGAAGGGAAAAAAUAGUAAUUCGAGUCCGACAAAAAAAAUCUCUCCCGCAGACUUUCAUCCCGAGAUACCAGUAGGUAGGGAAAAAAUAGUAAUUCGAGUCCAACAAAAAAAAC
RNAcentral lists this long non-coding RNA (264 nucleotides) under Linum usitatissimum (flax). Its description in RNAcentral is "long non-coding RNA (LUSI_LNC004214)". Lineage: Eukaryota; Viridiplantae; Streptophyta; Magnoliopsida; Malpighiales; Linaceae. The record is from RNAcentral.